Molecule: long non-coding RNA, 177 nt
Organism: Humulus lupulus (European hop)
Lineage: Eukaryota; Viridiplantae; Streptophyta; Magnoliopsida; Rosales; Cannabaceae
Exons: 3
Source: RefSeq, a predicted model, not a curated record
AGAUUACUUGCAGGAGCGUGAGGUCCAGCUGGAAUCAUGAAGGGCAAGUAUGUGGAACUUACACCAGAAUAUAUUUACCCGUACAGAAACCAGGGUGGUUUUGAUAUGAUAUGUAGUGGAAGAGAUAAGAUUGAAACUCCAGAGCAGUUUCAACAAGCUGCAGAUACUGCCGCGAAG